AAUCAUCCUCUGGAGGCGGGGAAAGGAUCACAGAAAGAGCUAAGCUAGAGGGACAGCUAGUCAAGGCAAAGCAGCAGCGCUCUGCGAAAACGACUUUUACCCAUCCACAGCAAACAUCCACGACGUUUAAACCCCACGGAUUGCUCACUUAAAUGUUCCCAUGGAUUACUAAUACACUUUCGUCGAAGAACAGGAGUGUUUCUCAACUUGACAGCCUCGCCUGGGUUUCGUCACACUGGUCACCUAGAGGACUCAUAGAGAGAUGAAGACUCUGGAGGAGCCCCCCUACCUGACGGUAGGGACGGAUGUGAGUGCCAAGUACCGAGGGGCUUUCUGCGAGGCCAAGAUUAAGACCGCCAAGAGGCUCGUCAAGGCCAAG
Molecule: long non-coding RNA, 379 nt
Organism: Notolabrus celidotus (New Zealand spotty)
Lineage: Eukaryota; Metazoa; Chordata; Actinopteri; Labriformes; Labridae
Exons: 3
Source: RefSeq, a predicted model, not a curated record